GAUUGCGAGGGCGAAGAGCAGGCUGCGACAUCUGUCACCCCCUUGAUCGCUAGGAUUGAUUUGGCUCAUCUGGCUGACUAGGCGGGUGUCCCCUUUCCCCCUCACUACUCCAUGUGUGUCCCUCCCGAAGCUGUGUUCUCUGUCAAAGAGGAUGGUCUUCCCCGAAUAGAGAUGGACUGGUCUUUGGUCGAGGGUAGCUGUGCUCCCCUGCUAUAACCUCCAAACAAGCUCUUAAGGUCCCUGUGUAGGAGCUCGUAGGGUAGUCAAGCUUCCCAGACUCCAGACACCUCCAAAUGAGGCACUUCAUGUGGCAGUCUGCCUUUCUUU
Unclassified non-coding RNA from Erinaceus europaeus (western European hedgehog), 327 nucleotides. Its record names the gene 7SK. It matches the Rfam family "7SK RNA". Rfam says of the family: 7SK was discovered as an abundant small nuclear RNA in the mid-70s but a possible function has only recently been suggested. The record is from Ensembl. NCBI's taxonomy places the organism in Eukaryota, Metazoa, Chordata, Mammalia, Eulipotyphla, Erinaceidae.